Molecule: long non-coding RNA, 205 nt
Filed under: Elaeis guineensis (African oil palm)
Lineage: Eukaryota; Viridiplantae; Streptophyta; Magnoliopsida; Arecales; Arecaceae
Description: long non-coding RNA (EGUI_LNC042663)
Source: RNAcentral
GAGUGAUCUAAAGGUAAGAGAAAAAAAUAUUGAGAAUUGUAUGAAGUAUAAUUAGUAAAGAGUUACCUACUCUUAAACUCAUGAAUGCUUGUUGUGCUAUCCACAAGGUGUUUAUGAGGAAUGGGGAUCUCAACCCCACUUAGAAACAUAAUGAUGUUUCUUAUUUUUCAUACUUGAGGGCUAUAAAAUUUAUUAAAAUAGUGAG